RNAcentral lists this unclassified non-coding RNA (303 nucleotides) under uncultured fungus. RNAcentral describes it as "partial contains small subunit ribosomal RNA, internal transcribed spacer 1, and 5.8S ribosomal RNA". The stretch from base 1 to 73 matches the Rfam family "Eukaryotic small subunit ribosomal RNA", at positions 1759 to 1831 of the family's 1831-position model. The record is from RNAcentral. Lineage: Eukaryota; Fungi.
ACAAACUUGGUCAUUUAGAGGAAGUAAAAGUCGUAACAAGGUUUCCGUAGGUGAACCUGCGGAAGGAUCAUUAUCAAAUCCACGAGGAGGAGGAAGGGUGGUUCGGUGCCCUGCAACGCGCUCGGUGCUGUGUCGCCCUUCCUCUCCUCAUCACAACACACAUUCAUACCCACCCUGGUGUGGGUGGUAUACAUUGAUGUUAGCUAGUUUGUUUGUUUGGGUGUACAACAAGUAAGUAGAGAGAAUGUGUCUAUAACUUUUAACAAUGGAUCUCUUGGCUCUUGCAUCGAUGAAGAACGCAGC